This 253-nucleotide ribosomal RNA is filed under the name uncultured bacterium. Its description in RNAcentral is "partial 16S ribosomal RNA". It matches the Rfam family "Bacterial small subunit ribosomal RNA", at positions 524 to 776 of the family's 1533-position model. The record is from RNAcentral.
GACGUAGGAGGCGAGCGUUAUCCGGAUUCACUGGGCGUAAAGCGCGUGUAGGCGGCUCGUCAAGUCGGUUGUGAAAGCCCCUGGCUCAACUGGGGGAGGUCAGCCGAGACUGUCGGGCUGGAGGCUCAGAGAGGAAGGUGGAAUUCCCGGUGUAGCGGUGGAAUGCGUAGAGAUCGGGAGGAACACCAGUGGCGAAGGCGGCCUUCUGGCUGAGGCCUGACGCUGAGACGCGAAAGCGUGGGUAGCAAACGGG